Molecule: ribosomal RNA, 459 nt
Filed under: uncultured bacterium
Lineage: Bacteria
Description: partial 16S ribosomal RNA
Rfam family: Bacterial small subunit ribosomal RNA
Source: RNAcentral
CCUACGGGCGGCUGCAGUGAGGAAUAUUGGUCAAUGGUCGGGAGACUGAACCAGCCAAGCCGCGUGAGGGAUGAAGGUACAGAGUAUCGUAAACCUCUUUUGUCAGGGAACAAAGGCGGGGACGCGUCCCCGGAUGAGUGUACCUGAAGAAAAAGCAUCCGCUAACUCCGGGCCAGCAGCCGCGGUAAUACGGAGGAUGCGAGAGUUAUCCGGAUUUAUGGGGUUAAAGGGGUACGCAGGCGGUCUGUUAAGUGAGCGGUCAAAGCCCGGGGCCAAACCCCGGCCCGCCGUUGAAACUGGCAGUCUCAAGUUGGAGAGAAGUAUGCGGAAUGCGCGGUGUAGCGGUGAAAUGCAUAGAUAUCGCGCAGAACUCCGAUUGCGAAGGCAGCAUGUCGGCUCCACACUGACGCUGAGGCACGAAAGCGUGGGUAUCGAACAGGAUUAGAUACCCUUGUAGUC